Molecule: ribosomal RNA, 225 nt
Filed under: uncultured bacterium
Lineage: Bacteria
Description: partial 16S ribosomal RNA
Rfam family: Bacterial small subunit ribosomal RNA
Source: RNAcentral
CGUAACACGUGAGCAACCUACCGAACUGUGGGGGAUAGCCGGCCUAACGGCCGAGUAAUACCGCAUACGCUUUCAAUGAGGCAUUUCAUUGAAAGGAAACCUACGGGACAGAUCGAGGGGCUCGCGGCCUAUCAGCUAGUUGGCGAGGUAACGGCUCACCAAGGCAACGACGGGUAGCUGGUCUGAGAGGAUGGCCAGCCACAUUGGGACUGAGAUACGGCCCAG